RNAcentral lists this transfer RNA (75 nucleotides) under Klebsiella pneumoniae. RNAcentral describes it as "tRNA-Ala". It matches the Rfam family "tRNA". Rfam says of the family: Transfer RNA (tRNA) molecules are approximately 80 nucleotides in length. Their secondary structure includes four short double-helical elements and three loops (D, anti-codon, and T loops). Further hydrogen bonds mediate the characteristic L-shaped molecular structure. tRNAs have two regions of fundamental functional importance: the anti-codon, which is responsible for specific mRNA codon recognition, and the 3' end, to which the tRNAs corresponding amino acid is attached (by aminoacyl-tRNA synthetases). tRNAs cope with the degeneracy of the genetic code in two manners: having more than one tRNA (with a specific anti-codon) for a particular amino acid; and 'wobble' base-pairing, i.e. permitting non-standard base-pairing at the 3rd anti-codon position. The record is from RNAcentral. Lineage: Bacteria; Pseudomonadati; Pseudomonadota; Gammaproteobacteria; Enterobacterales; Enterobacteriaceae.
GGGGCUAUAGCUCAGCUGGGAGAGCGCUUGCAUGGCAUGCAAGAGGUCAGCGGUUCGAUCCGCUUAGAUCCACCA